CGAGUGGCGGACGGGUGAGUAAUGUCUGGGAAACUGCCUGAUGGAGGGGGAGUAACUACUGGAAACGGUAGCUAAUACCGCAUAACGUCGCAAGACCAAAGAGGGGGACCUUCGGGCCUCUUGCCAUCGGAUGUGCCCAGACGGGAUUAGCUAGUAGGUGGGGUAACGGCUCACCUAGGCGACGAUCCCUAGCUGGUCUGAGAGGAUGACCAGCCACACUGGAACUGAGACACGGUCCAGACUCCUACGGGAGGCAGCAUG
RNAcentral lists this ribosomal RNA (261 nucleotides) under uncultured bacterium. Its description in RNAcentral is "partial 16S ribosomal RNA". It matches the Rfam family "Bacterial small subunit ribosomal RNA", at positions 92 to 353 of the family's 1533-position model. The record is from RNAcentral.